RNAcentral lists this ribosomal RNA (403 nucleotides) under bacterium. RNAcentral's name for it is "partial 16S ribosomal RNA". It matches the Rfam family "Bacterial small subunit ribosomal RNA", at positions 355 to 776 of the family's 1533-position model. The record is from RNAcentral.
UGGGGAAUAUUGCACAAUGGGGGAAACCCUGAUGCAGCGACGCCGCGUGAACGAAGAAGGUAUUCGUAUCGUAAAGUUCUGUCCUAUGGGAAGAUAAUGACAGUACCAUAGAAGAAAGCUCCGGCUAAAUACGUGCCAGCAGCCGCGGUAAUACGUAUGGAGCGAGCGUUGUCCGGAAUUAUUGGGCGUAAAGGGUACGCAGGCGGUUUAAUAAGUCGAAUGUUAAAGAUCGGGGCUCAACCCCGCAAAGCAUUGGAAACUAAUAAACUUGAGUAGUGGAGAGGAAAGUGGAAUUCCUAGUGUAGUGGUGAAAUACGUAGAUAUUAGGAGGAAUACCAGUAGCGAAGGCGACUUUCUGGACACAAACUGACGCUGAGGUACGAAAGCGUGGGGAGCAAACAGG